Molecule: ribosomal RNA, 253 nt
Filed under: uncultured bacterium
Lineage: Bacteria
Description: partial 16S ribosomal RNA
Rfam family: Bacterial small subunit ribosomal RNA
Source: RNAcentral
UACGUAGGGUGCGAGCGUUAAUCGGAAUUACUGGGCGUAAAGCGUGCGUAGGCGGUUCCUUAAGUCCGUUGUGAAAGCCCCGGGCUCAACCUGGGAAUGGCAGUGGAAACUAGGGGACUGGAAUCUGGCAGAGGGGGGUGGAAUGCCGCGUGUAGCAGUGAAAUGCGUAGAUAUGCGGAGGAACACCGAUGGCGAAGGCAAUCCCCUGGGCCUGCACUGACGCUCAUGCACGAAAGCGUGGGGAGCAAACAGG